GACGAACGCUGGCGGCGUGCUUAACACAUGCAAGUCGAACGGACAGGCCCUGCUUUUGUGGGGUGCUCGAGUGGCGAACGGGUGAGUAACACGUGAGUAACCUGCCCUUGACUUUGGGAUAACUUCAGGAAACUGGGGCUAAUACCGGAUAGGAGCUCCUGCUGCAUGGUGUGGGUUGGAAAGUUUCGGCGGUUGGGGAUGGACUCGCGGCUUAUCAGCUUGUUGGUGGGGUAGUGGCUUACCAAGGCUUUGACGGGUAGCCGGCCUGAGAGGGUGACCGGCCACAUUGGGACUGAGAUACGGCCCAGACUCCUACGGGAGGCAGCAGUGGGGAAUAUUGCACAAUGGGCGGAAGCCUGAUGCAGCAACGCCGCGUGCGGGAUGACGGCCUUCGGGUUGUAAACCGCUUUCGCCUGUGACGAAGCGUGAGUGACGGUAAUGGGUAAAGAAGCACCGGCUAACUACGUG
Molecule: ribosomal RNA, 468 nt
Filed under: uncultured bacterium
Lineage: Bacteria
Description: partial 16S ribosomal RNA
Rfam family: Bacterial small subunit ribosomal RNA
Source: RNAcentral